ACUCAAAUGAAUUGACGGGGACCUGCACAACCAGUGGAGCAUGUGGUUUAAUCCGAGACGAACCGAAGGACCUUACCCAGGUUUGACAUGCUAUCGUAUAUUUUUACAGAAAUGUAGAGAAAUCUUUAAGAAAUUUUAGAUGAUAGCACAGGUGUUGCAUGGCUGUCGUCAGCUCGUGCCGUGGGGUGUUCCCUUCAGUGGGGUAACGAGCGCAACCCCUGCCGUAUGUUAAAUUAUCCAUACGGGACUAUUCGCACUAGUUGCGAGAGGAAGCGGGGACGACGUCAAGUCGGCAUGGCCCUUAUACCUGGGGCAACACACAUGCUACAAUGGAGCCGACAAUGGGUUGCCAAGCCGCAAGGCGGAGCUAAUCCCAAAAACGGCUUCUCAGUGGGGAUUGCGGGCUGCAACUCGCCCGCAUGAACGCGGAAUUGGUAGUAAUCGGAGGUCAGCUAUACUCCGGUGAAUACGUUCUCAGGUCUUGUACACACCGCCCGU
This 498-nucleotide ribosomal RNA is filed under the name uncultured bacterium. RNAcentral describes it as "partial 16S ribosomal RNA". It matches the Rfam family "Bacterial small subunit ribosomal RNA", at positions 899 to 1397 of the family's 1533-position model. The record is from RNAcentral.